GAUGAACGCUAGCGGCAGGCCUAACACAUGCAAGUCGAGGGGUAGCGGGAUUAAGCUUGCUUAAUUGCUGACGACCGGCGCACGGGUGCGUAACGCGUAUGCAACCUACCUUAUACUGGGGUAUAGCCCGGAGAAAUUCGGAUUAAUCCCCCAUAGUACUAAUGAAUCGCAUGGUUUAUUAGUUAAAGCAUUGCGGUAUAAGAUGGGCAUGCGUCCUAUUAGCUAGAUGGUGAAGUAACGGCUCACCAUGGCUACGAUAGGUAGGGGGCCUGAGAGGGUGGUACCCCACACUGGUACUGAGACACGGAGCAGAAUCCUACGGGAGGCAGCAGUGAGGAAUAUUGGUCAAUGGGCGCAAGCCUGAACCAGCCAUGCCGCGUGCAGGAAGAAUGCCCUAUGGGUUGUAAACUGCUUUUAUUUGGGAAUAAACCUCUUUACGUGUAGAGAGCUGAAGGUACCAAAUGAAUAAGCACCGGCUAACUCCGUGCCAGCCGCCGCCGUAA
RNAcentral lists this ribosomal RNA (503 nucleotides) under uncultured bacterium. RNAcentral's name for it is "partial 16S ribosomal RNA". It matches the Rfam family "Bacterial small subunit ribosomal RNA", at positions 28 to 523 of the family's 1533-position model. The record is from RNAcentral.